GCUGGCGGCGUGCUUAACACAUGCAAGUCGAACGGAAAGGCCCUUUCGGGGGUACUCGAGUGGCGAACGGGUGAGUAACACGUGGGUGAUCUGCCCUGCACUUUGGGAUAAGCCUGGGAAACUGGGUCUAAUACCGAAUAGGACCGCAUGCUUCAUGGUGUGUGGUGGAAAGCUUUUGCGGUGUGGGAUGGGCCCGCGGCCUAUCAGCUUGUUGGUGGGGUAAUGGCCUACCAAGGCGACGACGGGUAGCCGGCCUGAGAGGGUGUCCGGCCACACUGGGACUGAGAUACGGCCCAGACUCCUACGGGAGGCAGCAGUGGGGAAUAUUGCACAAUGGGCGCAAGCCUGAUGCAGCGACGCCGCGUGGGGGAUGACGGCCUUCGGGUUGUAAACCUCUUUCAGUAUCGGCGAAGCUCCGGGAUUUUUCUUGGGGUGACGGUAGGUACAGAAGAAGCACCGGCCAACUACGUGCC
Molecule: ribosomal RNA, 473 nt
Filed under: Mycobacterium sp. FI05158
Lineage: Bacteria; Bacillati; Actinomycetota; Actinomycetes; Mycobacteriales; Mycobacteriaceae
Description: bacterial SSU rRNA
Rfam family: Bacterial small subunit ribosomal RNA
Source: RNAcentral